Small nuclear RNA from Schistocerca nitens (vagrant locust), 107 nucleotides. The record is from RefSeq and is a predicted model, not a curated record. NCBI's taxonomy places the organism in Eukaryota, Metazoa, Arthropoda, Insecta, Orthoptera, Acrididae.
GUACUUUCUUCGGCAGUACAUGGAGUAACAGUGGAGCGAUAUAGAGAAGAACAGCGUGGCCUUUGUUCAAGGGUGACACGCAAAAUUUUUUAACGUUCCACAUUUUA